UAGUGAGGAACUUAAUUACAUUCGAUUGCUGCCAAACGAAAGCUUACAAAGUUUUAUCAUCUGGUUUCGGCGACUAGUAGCUAAAAAAGACCCUCCUCCCAGUGAGGACGAUCAGGUUCGCUUCUUCACGAACGGCCUGCCUCCUGAAUAGGCUUUCUUCACGAAGGGCAAGACCCCCACAACACUUGCUGAGGCUAUUUCCUCGGAUUCCAGUUGGGAGCAAGCCCGUGUGAGCAUGGCUCGCUUCCAGUAGCCUUUCUACUCCGUUCCUUCAGUGCUUGGCGGCCCACCAGUGAUCCCGCCAACCUUUCCAAACAUCAGCAGCAUCACAGCCAUAUUCUUCGCUCACUGACCCAGCAAGCUUACCUUUUCCUGGAACUGUCGAUUACAGCCACCUCCAGCGGCAUAUACUUCCUGCCGUGGCUACUUCCUCUUCAGCUCUGCCACAGUCGCAAGGUGAUGACUUGGAAACACUCACCAAGAAAAUGUCCGAGCUUCAGCUUAACUGGAUUCGGAGUCCAGACACCUCCUCAGCCUGUUACUGAACGUGAGAAUAUCUGGUGUACUCGUUGCAAGGGAUAUGGACAUUAUCCCAGCGAAUACCCAAGUCCUGCACCAGCUCGAGUCAAGUGCCAGCACUGCAGACGAAAUAAUCACAGAUCAGAGCACUGCAUAUAUAAACCCGCUACCUCAGCUCAGCCAGCUCCUCGCUUGCCUGCACGUCCCAGCUACCACGUCCAGCUUCUUCAAGAUCCAUUGCCACCU
This 765-nucleotide long non-coding RNA is filed under the name Selaginella moellendorffii. RNAcentral describes it as "long non-coding RNA (SMOE_LNC002016)". The record is from RNAcentral. Lineage: Eukaryota; Viridiplantae; Streptophyta; Lycopodiopsida; Selaginellales; Selaginellaceae.